Molecule: transfer RNA, 76 nt
Filed under: Paraeggerthella hongkongensis
Lineage: Bacteria; Bacillati; Actinomycetota; Coriobacteriia; Eggerthellales; Eggerthellaceae
Also listed under: 4 other names
Description: tRNA-Lys(ctt)
Rfam family: tRNA
About the family: Transfer RNA (tRNA) molecules are approximately 80 nucleotides in length. Their secondary structure includes four short double-helical elements and three loops (D, anti-codon, and T loops).
Source: RNAcentral
GGACCGUUAGCUUAGUUGGUAGAGCAGGGGACUCUUAAUCCCAAGGUCGUAGGUUCGAAUCCUACACGGUCCACCA